CAGUAAUAUAACUGUACAAAGGUAGCAUAAUCAUUAGUUUUUUAAUUAAAAGCUUGUAUGAAAGGUUGGACGAAGUAAAAUCUGUCUCUUUUUAAUAUAAUUAGAAUUUAAUUUUUAAGUAAAAAAGCUUAAAUUUAUAUAAAAGACGAGAAGACCCUAUAGAGUUUAAUAAUUAAUUUUAAAUAAUUAAUUUAGAUUUAUUUAUUUUAUUUAUUAUAAAAUUAUUUUAUUGGGGUAAUAAAAAGAUUAAUAUAAUUCUUUUUUUUUAUUACAUUAAUUUAUGAAUUAAAUGAUCCAUUUUUAUGAUUAAAAGAUUAAAUUACCUUAGGGAUAACAGCGUAAUUUUUUUAAAGAGUUCAUAUCGAUAAAAAAGUUUGCGACCUCGAUGUUGGAUUAAAGAUUAGUUUAGGUGUAGAAUUUUAAAUUUUUGGUCUGUUCGACCAUUAAAUCUUUACAUGAUCUGAGUUCAAACCGGUGUAAGCCAGGUUGGUUUCUAUCUUUAUAGAAUUUUUAUAUUUUAGUACGAAAGGACCAAAUAUUUAAUAUAUAAAUAUUUAAUAUUUUGAAUAU
This 570-nucleotide ribosomal RNA is filed under the name Duvalius auberti magdalenae. Its description in RNAcentral is "partial 16S ribosomal RNA". The stretch from base 330 to 488 matches the Rfam family "Bacterial large subunit ribosomal RNA", at positions 2473 to 2632 of the family's 2925-position model. Lineage: Eukaryota; Metazoa; Arthropoda; Insecta; Coleoptera; Carabidae. The record is from RNAcentral.